RNAcentral lists this long non-coding RNA (1256 nucleotides) under Capra hircus (goat). RNAcentral's name for it is "lncRNA (ENSCHIG00000001605.1)". Lineage: Eukaryota; Metazoa; Chordata; Mammalia; Artiodactyla; Bovidae. The record is from RNAcentral.
GCUGUGCCCCUGCCUCUGCCCAGGAGAGGCUAGGAGCAUCCUUCCUUCCCCCUUGCUGUUGUCACACGUCUGCUGGGGGCAGUCGCCCUGGUUGAGAACCCCAUCUCCAGAUGCUCUCCCAUGCCCUGCCUUAGGGCUACCUGGCCCGGAUCUAUACGCAAACCCUGGGCUUUAGACGCAGUCUUUGGAGGGAAACGGAGUGUGUACCCCCCCAGCUGAGCGUGGAGGCUGGGGUGCCCUGGGAAUGCAGCCUGGGGGUGACCUCUGGAGUCUUACUAAGAGAAGUCGGUGGAGGGCAUUGGCUUCCUGGUGGGAAGCUGAGCCUUCCCUUGGGGCUUGAUCAUAUUUCUUGACCCCAGAACGUCUCUUGGUUUUUUCCUCCCUCUUACCAUCCCUCAUCCUCUUCAGGAAAAAAAAAAAAAAAUCUCUUCUGCAAAUUGCCACUUUAUCUGAAUCAUUCCUAUCGGGUGUCUAAUCCCUGCUGAUGGAAGAAGGCUGUUCUGCAUGCGAUCGCCUGCAUUUAUUUACACAUCAGCGGUGAGAGCAGGGCCUGAUGCCUUCGUCUGGAUGACACAGCUGCUCUUUAAAAAAAAAAAGGGCAUCUAUUUAAAAGGCCGUUGCUGGGAAUCAUCAGCUGAAAAACAACGCCGAGAUGGCUGUGCAGUGUGACAAUGGUUCUGGCGCAGCCUGGCCGUGGACGGGGGCCUGUCGCAUUUCUGAUCGAUAAUAAGCUGGUUCAGGAGCGAUGCGCCAGCAUCCCGUGUGCUUGCAACCCACAAUUAGCACACAGAUUGCCCCUCCCUGGAGCCGCGGAGCACGUGCAAAGCGGCUUCAGCCACACCCUGCAGAGCGCCGACCGCCCUGGAGCUGGCUCUGUGGUUGAGGGACACCUAGUAGUGAUGCCACCAGUCUUGUUCGUGACGACCAGUGGCUCACACAGCCUGGAGCCUGCACGACCUGCCCGUGAGCGGUCAGUGAACCCGCGGGGGUGGGCCGGGCCAGCUGGCUCCACCUGUGAAGGACCUGGGGCUCACCAUGGCCAGGCCCACGUAGUAGCCCACACUCCAUCCGUAGGUACCAGGCAGUGGGGGGAGCUGGGCCCGGUUCCCCCAGGGGGUGAGGAUGGGGCUGACCUGAGGGUCUGGAGCCCAGAGCUGAGACACCCUUGUAGACAAGUAGGGGUGCGUCUCAGCUCCUUCCUGCUGGGCCUCCCGCUCUCCUGGCCUGAACACAGAGGAACCCGUCCCAGCCUCUGA